Molecule: long non-coding RNA, 441 nt
Organism: Ochotona princeps (American pika)
Lineage: Eukaryota; Metazoa; Chordata; Mammalia; Lagomorpha; Ochotonidae
Exons: 4
Source: RefSeq, a predicted model, not a curated record
CUUGGAGGAGUAUUUGAUUGGGCUAAUGAAUCUCCACUUGUCGUAGCCGCUUUAUUAAAGGAUUGUCUUCGACUGAUCCCCAGUACUAUUUUUACGAAACAACUGUACUGUAAGUGGAUUAGUGUUCUUGACAAACAGGAUGAAGAGAAAGCCACGGAGAUCAAGAGGCUCUUACAAAAUCUGCCUGUAUGUAAUCUGGAUAUACUCAAGGAAUUGUGCUCUUGUUUAUAUGAGAUCUCUGCGAAUGCCUGUUUCAAUAUGAUGAAUGCAUCAGAGUUAGCAGUUUCAAUCACACCAAGCAUAUUUUACCUUUGGGAAUCAACAUCAACGAACUCAUCCCUGGAAACUGAAUUACUUAAAAAGAUGUCUAUUGUAGAGUUUUUUAUCGAAAACUAUCCCCGGUUAUUUGAGGACCAGAAUGAAUCGUCACUUAGGAACAGU